Molecule: ribosomal RNA, 497 nt
Filed under: uncultured bacterium
Lineage: Bacteria
Description: partial 16S ribosomal RNA
Rfam family: Bacterial small subunit ribosomal RNA
Source: RNAcentral
GAUGAACGCUGGCGGCGUGCCUAAUACAUGCAAGUCGAGCGAACAGAUGAGGAGCUUGCUCCUCUGACGUUAGCGGCGGACGGGUGAGUAACACGUGGAUAACCUACCUAUAAGACUGGGAUAACUUCGGGAAACCGGAGCUAAUACCGGAUAAUAUAUUGAACCGCAUGGUUCAAUAGUGAAAGACGGUUUUGCUGUCACUUAUAGAUGGAUCCGCGCCGCAUUAGCUAGUUGGUAAGGUAACGGCUUACCAAGGCGACGAUGCGUAGCCGACCUGAGAGGGUGAUCGGCCACACUGGAACUGAGACACGGUCCAGACUCCUACGGGAGGCAGCAGUAGGGAAUCUUCCGCAAUGGGCGAAAGCCUGACGGAGCAACGCCGCGUGAGUGAUGAAGGUCUUCGGAUCGUAAAACUCUGUUAUUAGGGAAGAACAAAUGUGUAAGUAACUAUGCACGUCUUGACGGUACCUAAUCAGAAAGCCGCGGCUAACUACGUG